Hippocampus comes (tiger tail seahorse) is the source of this 250-nucleotide long non-coding RNA. RefSeq lists it as uncharacterized. The record is from RefSeq and is a predicted model, not a curated record. NCBI's taxonomy places the organism in Eukaryota, Metazoa, Chordata, Actinopteri, Syngnathiformes, Syngnathidae. The transcript has 2 exons.
UAACUCUUAAUCAGGUUUAUCCCUCUUGAGUGGAAUACCGGGGACCCAAACGCGCCGCAAUUCAGAAUGAUGGAUUUGGCGCAUUCAAUUCCACAUGUCCCCGUAGAUCCCAAACGGAUGGCGAGGGAGUCGCGAGCAGCGAAUCCAGCUCGGUAGCAAGAGGCGGGGAUGUUACCUUCAGCAAGAACCACCAAACCUCCAUCGAGGACCUUUCAGGUGAAGACCCAGAGACGAGGCGCUUGCGGACUGU